This is a small nucleolar RNA of Salvia splendens (bonfire salvia), 98 nucleotides long. RefSeq annotates it as small nucleolar RNA snoR99. Lineage: Eukaryota; Viridiplantae; Streptophyta; Magnoliopsida; Lamiales; Lamiaceae. The transcript has a single exon. The record is from RefSeq and is a predicted model, not a curated record.
UUGGAUUGAGGGAUGAAUGCGUCCCUCAAAUUCAAACAUCCUUCACUUUGUCAGCAUUUUCGAUCCGUAAUAUGCUGGCCAUAAUUGGAUGGAGAUUU